UUUCAUUCAAUAAAACAUCAUGAUGAAAUUUACAUUUUUUACUGGUAAAAAAUAUAUAAAUUUUGAAUUUACAUUUAAAAAAGGCUGAAAAGGUCGCAAUCAGGGGAGUUCACAUGUACCCCCUUCCAGAUAUAUUCAGUUUAUUGUAUAGGCCUAGUUACAUGUGGUCCGAAAAAAUGUAUACCGACAAAAAAGUGUCUAUCCAGCGAGUGUACGGAUGCAGUUGGAGUGGAAACGGGUCGCCAUAACGUCCUUGUACUUUUGCACUUGCAGUCAAUGCGUACAGCGUCAGUAUAAGCACGUCAAUUUUACUGUUAAUAUAGCGUUGCAAGUAUGAAUUAAUUGUCCAUAACAAAAAAAGUUUCAAAACUGACAGUGGUAAUGUGAAGAAAAAAAAAAUGUCGAACAACAAUAUCCAAGCAUUUAGCCUACACACAUCUGACAUUUCAACCGGCUUCAUUGAUUGUUCAUCAAAUUUCGAGUUUGAUGAUAUGUUAUCAACUACCCCGAGACGAGUAUUUUUCAGCUCAUUAUUAAGCCAAUAAGCAAAUAAUUCUGUUGACGAAAUUAAUAUGACAAAAUAUUGUAUGAUAUUGUGACACUUACCUUAACGUCGUCGAUUUCAAGCAUGUAUUUUUGAGGAUUGUGACAAUGAACACGAGCGAAUAAAUGACAUAUGGGCUGGCGAUGAUAUGUCUUGAAGCACUUU
This is a long non-coding RNA of Myzus persicae (green peach aphid), 709 nucleotides long. RefSeq lists it as uncharacterized. The transcript is spliced from 5 exons. NCBI's taxonomy places the organism in Eukaryota, Metazoa, Arthropoda, Insecta, Hemiptera, Aphididae. The record is from RefSeq and is a predicted model, not a curated record.